RNAcentral lists this ribosomal RNA (449 nucleotides) under Streptococcus mitis. RNAcentral describes it as "bacterial SSU rRNA". It matches the Rfam family "Bacterial small subunit ribosomal RNA", at positions 33 to 471 of the family's 1533-position model. Lineage: Bacteria; Bacillati; Bacillota; Bacilli; Lactobacillales; Streptococcaceae. The record is from RNAcentral.
ACGCUGGCGGCGUGCCUAAUACAUGCAAGUAGAACGCUGAAGAGAGGAGCUUGCUCCUCUUGGAUGAGUUGCGAACGGGUGAGUAACGCGUAGGUAACCUGCCUGGUAGCGGGGGAUAACUAUUGGAAACGAUAGCUAAUACCGCAUAAUAGCAGUUAUUGCAUGAUAACUGUUUGAAAGGUGCAAAUGCAUCACUACCAGAUGGACCUGCGUUGUAUUAGCUAGUUGGUGGGGUAACGGCUCACCAAGGCGACGAUACAUAGCCGACCUGAGAGGGUGAUCGGCCACACUGGGACUGAGACACGGCCCAGACUCCUACGGGAGGCAGCAGUAGGGAAUCUUCGGCAAUGGACGGAAGUCUGACCGAGCAACGCCGCGUGAGUGAAGAAGGUUUUCGGAUCGUAAAGCUUCUGUUGUAAGAGAAGAAACGAAGUGUGAGAAGUGGAAAG